RNAcentral lists this ribosomal RNA (484 nucleotides) under uncultured bacterium. RNAcentral's name for it is "partial 16S ribosomal RNA". It matches the Rfam family "Bacterial small subunit ribosomal RNA", at positions 29 to 507 of the family's 1533-position model. The record is from RNAcentral.
AUUGAACGCUGGCGGCAUGCUUUACACAUGCAAGUCGAACGGCAGCGCGGGCUUUGGCCUGGCGGCGAGUGGCGAACGGGUGAGUAAUGCAUCGGAACGUGCCUAGUAGUGGGGGAUAGCCCGGCGAAAGCCGGAUUAAUACCGCAUACGACCUGAGGGUGAAAGCGGGGGACCGAAAGGCCUCGCGCUAUUGGAGCGGCCGAUGUCGGAUUAGCUAGUUGGUGGGGUAAAGGCUUACCAAGGCGACGAUCCGUAGCUGGUCUGAGAGGACGACCAGCCACACUGGGACUGAGACACGGCCCAGACUCCUACGGGAGGCAGCAGUGGGGAAUUUUGGACAAUGGGGGCAACCCUGAUCCAGCCAUGCCGCGUGCGGGAAGAAGGCCUUCGGGUUGUAAACCGCUUUUGUUCGGGAAGAAAUCCUCUAGGCUAAUACCCCGGGGGGAUGACGGUACCGGAAGAAUAAGCACCGGCUAACUACAUG